Molecule: small nuclear RNA, 107 nt
Filed under: Dasypus novemcinctus (nine-banded armadillo)
Lineage: Eukaryota; Metazoa; Chordata; Mammalia; Cingulata; Dasypodidae
Source: RNAcentral
GUGAUCACUUCGGCAACAUAUAUACUAAAAUGGGAAUGAUAUAGAGAAGACUAGCGUGGACCCUGUGCAAGGAUGACAUGCAAAUUCAUGCAGUAUUCCCUAUUUUU